UACGAAGGGUGCAACCGUUGCUCGGAAUCAUUGGGCGUAAAGCGCACGUAGGCGGCUUCAAAAGUCGGAUGUGAAAUCCCUCGGCUCAACCGAGGACGUGCAUCCGAAACUGCGGAGCUUGAGUAUGGAAGAGGGUCGCGGAAUCCCCGGUGUAGAGGUGAAAUUCGUAGAUAUUCGCAAGAACACCAGUGGCGAAGGCGGCUUACUGGUCCGGUUCUGACGCUGAGGCGCGAAAGCGUGGGGAGCAAACAGG
This 253-nucleotide ribosomal RNA is filed under the name uncultured bacterium. RNAcentral describes it as "partial 16S ribosomal RNA". It matches the Rfam family "Bacterial small subunit ribosomal RNA", at positions 524 to 776 of the family's 1533-position model. The record is from RNAcentral.